GGCUGGUCCAAUUGAGUGCGGUGGUGUUUACGACUAAUCGAUUACAACCAUUUGCAAAUGUCUUUGUUCUUUCUCCACUCCCACUGCUUCACUCGAUUAGCCUUAA
Molecule: unclassified non-coding RNA, 106 nt
Organism: Nomascus leucogenys (northern white-cheeked gibbon)
Lineage: Eukaryota; Metazoa; Chordata; Mammalia; Primates; Hylobatidae
Rfam family: Y RNA
About the family: Y RNAs are components of the Ro ribonucleoprotein particle (Ro RNP), in association with Ro60 and La proteins.
Source: Ensembl